CUUCUUCUUCUCCUCCUUUUGAUCUGCGAUUCAUCUUGGGCAGACAUAUGUAAGGCUUGGGCUCUUUCUUACUGCGUUUCUGAGCAGUAUGUCACCUCAGGUGGUCUUUUUGGUCAGAAUGAGCUCAUUCUGAAACCUGUGGGAUUCGGAGAAGUGAAAGUCCCGCUCACGAGUCUCUUUCACAGCCUAACCAGAAAACAGGGCAUGGAUUAGAGCAGACCAGGCACUCCAGAUUUGAGACUGCACCCAACCAGAGACAGAUCUGGGGCUGUGACCCCCAAAACACCUCUGCAGACUCAAGCGAUCAUGCCUAAACACUUCACCUGGAAGUUGACUUGGCGCCCCCUGGCUGAGAAGAAUGAAACGUCAGGCAAGAA
Molecule: long non-coding RNA, 377 nt
Organism: Brienomyrus brachyistius
Lineage: Eukaryota; Metazoa; Chordata; Actinopteri; Osteoglossiformes; Mormyridae
Exons: 3
Source: RefSeq, a predicted model, not a curated record